GGUCUGUUAGCUCAGCUGGAUAGAGUACUUGCCUCCGAAGCAAGGGGUCACAGGUUCGAAUCCUGUACAGACCACCA
This 77-nucleotide transfer RNA is filed under the name Paracoccaceae bacterium. Its description in RNAcentral is "tRNA-Arg". It matches the Rfam family "tRNA". From Rfam's summary of the family: Transfer RNA (tRNA) molecules are approximately 80 nucleotides in length. Their secondary structure includes four short double-helical elements and three loops (D, anti-codon, and T loops). The record is from RNAcentral. Lineage: Bacteria; Pseudomonadati; Pseudomonadota; Alphaproteobacteria; Rhodobacterales; Paracoccaceae.